This is an RNA transcript of Pyrus x bretschneideri (Chinese white pear), 2062 nucleotides long. It is a transcript of the gene named probable protein S-acyltransferase 4, with no coding region annotated. Lineage: Eukaryota; Viridiplantae; Streptophyta; Magnoliopsida; Rosales; Rosaceae. The record is from RefSeq and is a predicted model, not a curated record. The transcript has 7 exons.
GUUAAGAGCGGCAAAGCCGCGAGAAAGUUGGAAGAUCCGCCCGGAUGUCAUCGUUGGCAGCGUGUUAGGGAGGAGAAGUUAGAGAGAGAAAGAUACGGAGGGAGGGGGAGAGAGAAAAUCUUUGCUCGUCUCUCUUGGUACAAUCCGUCUCAGAAACCACAAAAUAAAUAGUUGUGAGCAGAGAGGCAGCUGGUUUUGAAUUUCAUCCCAAACCCAGAAGCCUCUCUCUCACUCCUCAAUUGCUCAUUUGCAUGUCCGUGAUUGUUUGAAGAAAUUGGUUUUCCUUGGUGGGUUUUCUCUCUUCUGGUGCUGGUGACUUUGUAGUGCAGGGAAGGAAGUGGAGUUUGUGAUGGGGGGAGGGUUUUGGAGUUGAGAGAAUACAGCAUUUUUAGGCAGCUGGGUAUGGCACAGAAUAAACCCAAGAGGCUCUACCAAGUUUGGAAAGGAAGCAAUAACUUUUUCUGUGGCGGGAGAUUAAUUUUUGGUCCUGAUGUGGCAUCUCUUCUUCUGUCUACACUCCUUAUUGCUGGCCCAGCAGUUGCCUUCUGUUUGAAGGUUUAUCUUAAAAUCAAAGAUGAGAAGAACAAGAAUGAGAGUCUAUGGCUUCCUGUGUUAGUUAUUGGCUCAGUUCUUACAAUAUUGGAUUUAACCUUUCUCUUCUUGACUUCUGGUAGAGAUCCUGGAAUAAUCCCUCGAAAUUCAAGGCCUCCAGAAUCAGAUGAAGCAUUUGAUCUAGCUACCCCAUCCAUGGAGUGGGUUAAUGAAAGAACUCCUCAUUUGAAGCUACCUCGAACAAGAGAUGUGAUUGUAAAUGGUCACACAGUAAAAGUGAAGUAUUGUGAUACUUGUUUGCUUUAUCGUCCUCCCCGUGUAUCUCACUGUUCUAUCUGCAACAAUUGCAUUCAGAGAUUCGAUCAUCACUGUCCGUGGGUUGGUCAGUGCAUUGGAAUUCGUAACUAUCCGUUCUUCUUCAUGUUCAUAUCAACCUCAACCAUACUGUGCAUAUAUGUUUUUGUCUUCUCUUGGAUAAACAUAGUUCAACAUGGCAGUCUUCCGAAAGCUUUUGCCAAUGAUAUCCUUUCAGAUAUCCUUUUAGCAUACUGUUUUAUCGCUAUCUGGUUUGUUGGUGGCCUUACAAUCUUCCAUUCCUACUUGAUAUGCACAAACCAGACAACAUAUGAAAACUUCCGGUACCGAUAUGAUAAGAAGGAGAACCCGUAUAACAAAGGAAUGAUUUGGAAUGUCAAAGAAGUUUUUUUCUCCAAAAUCCCUCCUUCAAUGAAUAGAUUCAGAUCAUUCAUUGAGAUGGAUGAACAGAUGAUUGCAGGAUCUGGGACUCCAAAUCACGGGGAAGGUACUAUGAGCUCAAAGGAGAAAAUAGAUAUUGAAAUGGGAACUAGGCAUGCGGAGGACAAUGGUUUAUCACUUCCAAACAUUUUGCGGAAUUUUGACUAUGAUGAUUUGGAGGAUGAUUUGAAGGAUGCAGGGGAACAACGCGGGCCUGCUUUUGACCCCCUUUUUCCCGUUCAGCCAGAAGUAAAAGAAUCUGUGCAAUACUCGGCAGAUGGAGAUAAAAUUACAGAAAGUGUUGCUACAAGGGAUGCGGUGAAAUAUUCUAUGCGAAGCACACCUCUGGGAGAUGAAUUGCAAGCAUCGGUCCAUAGCACCACUUCCUUUGAUGGAGCAAAUGAGGAAACUGAUUGUGGAAAUAAAAAAUCCUAAAACCAUCACCUGUUUUACAAGCAUAAAGGUUUGGCUACAACAUUCUCUUCUAGGGCUAUUGCAUCUCGUGAAGGGUCUUUUGUUUCAGCAGUAAUGGCAGUCAGAGAAUGAGUACACGUGUAGGGUAUUGGGACAUAAUCAUUUGAGAUCUGGAUUGACUUGCUCCCGAGUUACGUUGGAGAGGAUACAGUGGUUCGUUACGUUUCCCUUGUGUUGUGAUAAUGAUUUUGAUAAACUAUGUUAGAACCAUUUGUUACGAGUUAUCAUCCUAUGUGCUUUGAGGUUUGGAACAGAAAACCGAAACCUAAACACAUACCAAAUCGAACUGCACCAAACGGUU